This 484-nucleotide ribosomal RNA is filed under the name uncultured bacterium. RNAcentral's name for it is "partial 16S ribosomal RNA". It matches the Rfam family "Bacterial small subunit ribosomal RNA", at positions 30 to 507 of the family's 1533-position model. The record is from RNAcentral.
AUUGAACGCUGGCGGCAUGCCUAACACAUGCAAGUCGAGCGGAUGAAGGGAGCUUGCUCCUGGAUUCAGCGGCGGACGGGUGGGUAAUGCCUAGGAAUCUGCCUGGUCGUGGGGGAUAACGUCCUUAAACGGGCGCUAAUACCGCAUCCGUCCUUAUGUGGCAAGUGGGGGAUCUUCGGACCUCACGCUCUCUGCUGAGCCUAGGUCGGAUUAGCUAGUUGGUGGGGUAAAGGCCUACCAAGGCGACGAUCCGUAACUGGUCUGAGAGGAUGAUCAGUCACACUGGAACUGAGAAACGGUACAGACUCCGAAGGGAGGAAGCAGUAGGGAAUAUUGGACAAUGGGCGAAAGCCUGAUACAGCAAAGCCGCGUGUGUGAAGAAGGUCUUCGGAUUGUAAAGCACUGUAAGUUGGGAGGAAGGGAAGUAAGUUAAUACCUGGCGGUUUUGACGGUACCAACAGAAUAAGCACCGGCUAACUUCGUG